Molecule: ribosomal RNA, 332 nt
Filed under: uncultured bacterium
Lineage: Bacteria
Description: bacterial SSU rRNA
Rfam family: Bacterial small subunit ribosomal RNA
Source: RNAcentral
CGUGUAGGCGGGAUUGUAAGUCAGAUGUGAAAUACCGAGGCUUAACUUCGGGGCUGCAUUUGAAACUACAGUUCUUGAGUGUCGGAGAGGAAAGCGGAAUUCCUAGUGUAGCGGUGAAAUGCGUAGAUAUUAGGAGGAACACCAGUGGCGAAGGCGGCUUUCUGGACGAUAACUGACGCUGAGGCGCGAAAGCGUGGGGAGCAAACAGGAUUAGAUACCCUGGUAGUCCACGCCGUAAACGAUGGAUACUAGGUGUAGGAGGUAUCGACCCCUCCUGUGCCGCAGUUAACACAAUAAGUAUCCCACCUGGGGAGUACGGCCGCAAGGUUGAA